AUGCAGAACUGGUACUGCUAUGCGAAAACAGUGGCAGAGCAGACAGCUUGGGAAGAGGCCAAGGAGAAAGGGGUGGAUUUGGUGGUGGUGAACCCAGUUUUGGUGCUCGGACCACUUCUCCAACCAACCGUCAACGCUAGCAUCAUCCACAUCCUCAAGUACCUCAAAGGCUCUGCCAAGACUUAUGCCAAUUCUGUGCAGGCCUAUGUGCAUGUUAGGGACGUGGCUCUGGCCCACAUUCUGGUGUAUGAAACUCCAUCUGCCUCUGGAAGGUACCUUUGUGGUGGGAGUGUACUUCACCGUGGAGACGUGGUGGAAAUCCUAGCCACGUUCUUCCCAGAAUACCCAAUUCCCACCAGGUAAGUACAUCAUCAUCCUCAUCAAUUUUGUUUUCUUUAUUUCUUGUCUACAUAAGAUAUUUUCUGAGCUACAUGUUAACAACCGAGAGAGGGAUGAGGGCGGGGGACAAUGUGUUAGUGUUUUUCAGGUAUGAAUACUCAGAAUUUGCAGAAGGAAAAAAAAGGGAAAGAAGCAAUAAGAAAUUACCAAAAUCUGUCUGCUAUACGUGUAGCAGCAGAGUGUUCAUUCACUUCUCUCUUUCUUACAACCUCCCGCACAUAGUGUGAGGGAUAUAUCUGUUAUGCACAGUAGCUGGAUCUCUUACAUCGCAAGAUGAUCUCAGCCGUUCACUUGGGCAACCAAUAGGAAGCUUACACUUGUCAUAAAAGGAAAUAAAAUGGAAUACGAAUUAAACUAACUAUUAAGUCAGCUUAAGGCUUAUAAUUCAACAUAAUGAUGGUAUUGUCAUACCCGACUCUAAACCCCUUGUUGCCAUCCCUAUUUUGACAUAAGUGAAAUGGUAAAUAUGUUUGUUCAUGCAUACGUAGGCAACUCUCGAAGUGAUUGAUUUAAUGUUUGCUUAUGGUCCAUUACUUAAUGUUUUUAUAGAAUAAAAUUUUGGCUAAUCAUUGGCUUACUUAUGGAUUCUAAAUGGUGCAGGCAUAUUUUUUUUAUUUAUGGAUUUCUAUUUUCAAUAUUUUUGAAAGUACUCUUGUUUUUUUAAUGUUGUGGGAUUAAAUUAAUUAGUAUGUCAUAUAUUUACAGGUGCUCGGAUGAAGUCAAACCAAGAGUAAAACCAUACAAGUUGACAACCCAGAAGCUACAAGACUUGGGCGCGGAGUUCACUCCAGUGAAACAGUGCCUAUAUGAAACUGUCAAGAGCUUGCAGGAGAAGGGCCACCUUCCAGUGCCUAAACCACAAGAAGUUCCAUUAAAAUUCAAUCUUAAA
RNAcentral lists this long non-coding RNA (1288 nucleotides) under Prunus dulcis (almond). Its description in RNAcentral is "sRNA ncRNA". The record is from RNAcentral. Lineage: Eukaryota; Viridiplantae; Streptophyta; Magnoliopsida; Rosales; Rosaceae.